RNAcentral lists this long non-coding RNA (34273 nucleotides) under Brachypodium distachyon (stiff brome). Its description in RNAcentral is "long non-coding RNA (BDIS_LNC001806)". The stretch from base 27229 to 27364 matches the Rfam family "MIR1120/MIR1122 microRNA precursor family". Lineage: Eukaryota; Viridiplantae; Streptophyta; Magnoliopsida; Poales; Poaceae. The record is from RNAcentral.
GACCAAGGGCCCUCCUCUCACUUUUCUUGCUCCCCACUCUAACUCAUUUGACCCCUUGACCAUGGCAUGAGAGGCUUGACUUGUUGACUAGUUUUCCUCUGCCACGUAGGAUUGACCGCGCCACGUAGGUGUCUUUGACUCGUGCUUGCGGAAUGUUGACUUGGUCGCCAUCACAUAGGAUUUACGGCUCGGCCCAUAUAAGGGUUUAUUUUACUACUAUUCUUCAAAUUUUAUUUGAGUGUAUAUGUGUAGUGAGGUUUAUUAAUUUUGCAUUUCGAAAAAAUCAAUCGUGAACAUGGUUCGUGAAGGAACUUUUAAUUUCCUAUUUUCAUACUGGUCUAAUAGCACAUACCAGUGACAUGCCUUUGUCAUUUUUUUGUGCUUUAAAAAUAAUACAAAUACAAUAAUAAAUAUCUUUAAUAAAGAUGUUUUGCACGGGACACCUUGCUAGUUCUUUAAUUAAUGCAAAAAAGGGAAAUAUCAGGAAAACAUAGCUUAUGCAUUUUUUUUGUAAAUCCGGUACGCAUAUCCAUUUAACUGGUUUAAGUAACACUAAAGUAACAUAUCUUGGAGGGAAGCGCCGUCGCCGCGUCGUAUAAUUGCCUUAAAAAAAAGAUACUCUUUCCGUUUCAUAAUUUUUAUCUCAAAAUUUGCCCCCAAAAUAAUGUAUUUAUUUAUAAGAAAUGUUUAGAUUCAUGUAAUAUUUCGACAAAAAUUAUUAAACUGAGGGAGUAUCUCUUGUCCGUCGAGCACAUACUGCAUAAGCAUGCACACGCAGGUUGUGUCUCUGGUCUCUUCUGCGGUCAUUUGCAGUUUCGCGCUAAACUGACUAACGAACACUUCAAAGUUUAAAAAAAUAAAAAAAAAAAUAGCGAGAGCACCUGGUUGCGGGCUUGCUGCAGGAGCUCAAAGUUAAAUUGAUGCUCCUGUCGCCUAUAUAUACGAGCCAGUAGCUCCUUCAUCACAGCAUCAAGAUCACCACCACAAGUGCAUCUGUGCAAAGCGUGAAAAACAGAGCAAAACAUCCUCUGCCUCAGCCCGCGAAGCCAGCUCCUCUCCCCUGUUCCUACUCUGUUUCCCUCACUCACUGACUCACUCGAGAGUUCCUAGUGGAACGCGAGGCUUUGCUCGGGACCCGGCCAUGGUGGCGAUCAAGGCGCCGAGCUCCAUCGACCACGCGAACCCGCUGACCAAGUCCCCCAAGGCCGCAGCAGCAGCAGCAGCAGCGAUCCCGACGGUGGACCUGUCGUCCCCGGGCGCGGCGAGGGCCGUGGCGGAUGCCUGCCGCGGCGUGGGCUUCUUCCGGGCCACCAACCACGGCAUCCCCAGCUCGCUCGCCGCAGCGCUCGAGGCCCGCGCCAUGGCCUUCUUCGCGCUCCCGCACGAAGACAAGGUGGACGCCACCAUUGCCGCGGCCGCCCGGAGGCCCUUCGGGUACGGCAGCAGGAGCAUCGGCUCCAACGGCGACGUCGGCUGGCUCGAGUACCUCCUCCUCUCCCUCGGCUCAAACUCAAACUCCAGCUCCAUCCCAGGAGCUUCCUCCCUCCCGCCAUCGCUCCGGGCGGCGCUGGAGGAGUACACGGGAGCGGUGAGGAACGCGAGCGGGAAGGUGCUGGAGCUAAUGGCGGAGGGGCUGGGGAUGCAGGAGAGAUGUGCGCUGAGAAGGAUGGUGGAUGGAAGCGAGGAAGAGCUUGUCAGGGUGAACCAUUACCCGCCGACCAAGGAAGAAGACUGCGUGGCGGGGAUGACGGGGUUCGGGGAGCACACGGACCCGCAGAUCAUCUCCCUGCUCCGGUCCAACCGCACGGCCGGGCUCCAGAUUAAGCUCCAAGGACCCGACGCGCCAUGGGUCAACGUGGCUCCCGACCCGGAUUCCCUCUUCGUCAACGUCGGCGACUGCUUGCAGGUGCUGACGAACGGGCGGUUCAGGAGCGUGAAGCACAGGGUGGUGGCGCCGGAAGGGGCGCAGGCGUCGAGGCUGUCGGUGAUCUACUUCGGCGGGCCGGCGCCGGCGCAGAGGAUCGCGCCGCUGCCGGAGCUGAUGAGGGAGGGCGAGCAGAGCCUCUACAGGGACUUCACCUGGGGGGAGUACAAGGCGGCUGCCUACAAGACCCGCCUCGGCGACAACCGCCUCGGCCCCUACGAGCUGCGCAACGUCGCAGAUACUAAUCCGACGGCUCUGAUCACCGCCUCCAAGGAACCCACAGCCGCCGAUCACUGCUGCAGCAACAGCAGCAGCAGCAGCGCCGCCUGCGUCGUCGUCCAGCCGCCGCACGUAGCACAAGUGCACUAGCUAAGCUAGCUGAUGUCCGGCCGGCGGCUACUGUCGAUCGUUGGUCGGUCGUUUGAUGUGUAAUCCAGAUGUGGUAACUAAAGCUAGCUGUACGUGUGCCUGCCUGCUUUCCCAGCCCAAAAUUGGCAUGCGCCUGCGAAAAUGCCUCUCCCGCAUGCUCUGCUUCGUCCCGGUUUCAGUUUGUCCUUUCUGGGAAAACAUUUGUAACUUCCGCUAGUAGUAGUAGUAGGCUCGUAGCUGCAAGCCUGCAAGUGUGCUGCACCCUUUUGUCACCGGCAGUUUAACAGCUUGAAUCGCACGCUAUAUGCUGCCUGGUGUACUGUAAAUUAACGGCCCUAUUGUUCCGAUUGUCUUUGUGUGUUACUUACUUCUAGAGUACAAGUUAACUGGAGUACUAAGUGACAACGUUGUAAAAAAGCCCCCCUCUUCGCUUCUUUGGGGCCUUUUGUGCCGUAUAAGAAGUUAAGUACUUCAGAGGAAGAAGGAAACAGUUCAGUUUAGAUUCUACACGGUGCCAACCCCCGAUGCAUCAUCAAGACAUCAAGGUUCAGAUCAGACGACAGGGCUCGAGCCGUGCUCGGUAACAGCUCACGUCCGCUUGUUACAACUAGACGAGCCCCGUACGUUGUCGUGGAAAUUUUUAGUUAACAUACGUGAGCCCACGUUGUUGAGAACAUACAUGAAUGAAAAAUAGCAACAAAAGAGUAUUCAGUGAAAUGUAUAAUGGAAUUGUAUGAUAAAUUAUAGAUCAUUCACUUAGUAAAAAUAGCUUGAUGAAAAAUAGCAUGCAUGCAUGUGCAAAAAAUAUGAGUGUUUCACUAAAUAGAUAUGAACAAAUUAAUAGUGUGAUGAUGUGGCAUGCUUGCAUGUUGAGAGAAAUCAAGUAGCAGUAGCAUGUUCUUCUCCUUAGAUAUGGAAGAUUAGUGCUGUGCGUGGUACGGUUCGAGCUGAUCCAAGAGAAACGUGGUAUCUACGGAUCGGAUGUUCGGUUUACAAAAAAAAUCGGAACAACUAAAUCCUAUCCAAUUGAACCAUUGAUUCACCGGUUCGAACCUUCCUGUUCCUCAGGCCGAGGCAGCGAUUGAUCUCUCCAAUUCCUCGAUUUGCUGCUGCUGCCGCCGCCGCCGCUAAGCCCCACCGUGGUCGCCGCCGCCGUCUCCUUCAGUGCAAGUGAUCACAGUUCGCACCGCCUGCAAAUCCGCUCCCUCCCCACCCCCUCAGCGGCUCGCCGCCUUCAAAGCCGAAGCCAAGACGACUCCGCCGCUAAGACCAUCGGCGGCCGCCUCCGCAUCCCACGCCGCCACCGGGUGGAUUCGUCUCCAUCGCGCCGGCGCCCCCAACUCCCCGCCAACCUCCACCAUUACCCUGCUGUCGAUUCAGCGAGAUUGAAGUUUUUCUACCUCCGUCCCAGGCGCGCACUGCAGCCGAGCAGGCGACGAAAAUAACUCCUCCAUUACCCUGCUGUCGGCAACCUUCUUCGAGCUUUGAGCUAUUCGGCUUUUCCGGCCUGCAGCAGAGCAGCCGACGAGAGCCCUCUGGCAAGACGAAGCAUGCUGUUCUUUUCGGUAUGCAGUAUGCGCAGGCAAUUUAGGUUCGAACCAAAAGAUCCAUUGGAUCGUGUGGAUCACGGAUGCUGCUCCAAUGGAUCGAACCUUUUUACUCCCUUGCACCCUAGGUACGUGAAGUUUGGUGCGGUUCAGAGCCGGUACGAGCCACGCCCACCCCUAGUUACAAUCCGUUUUACUAAACCAACUAGUGGAAUGUCCGUGCUUCGUGACGGCUGAUGUUCAACAUAUAAUGGAAACGAAUAUUGAAAAGAAGGUGCAUAUCGUUUGCACGGAAUACAUAUCGGCCAUACCCAAUUGCUAUGAUAACAAAAUUCGACAAUACCAAAACAUUGAAAAACGACGAUAAAUAAUAUGAGAACUCAAGAAUACAGAACUUGGUUCAUACAUAGGAUGCGGUACAAACAGAUCUAUCUAAAGUACCACAUUAAAUAACAUCAAAGAAAGGUAAACUGGAACCAACCUAUAAUAGGGCAAGCUUGUUCAAGUAUAUUACAAUAAAAAUAUGCCUGGAAGGCAAAUUGGAAACAAAGAUCAUGAUUAGUGACAACAAAAACACUUACCACAUCUAUUAGCUGAUGAAAUGGUAGGAGCAAACCUUCACUAACAGCAUACAAGAACGAUGUCGCCAUUCUCUACAGCCUCCCAGAUAUUUUCAAGCCUCUCAUUCCUACAAGGACUUGAGUUGAUAUUAACAACUGGCACAGUUUGGUACCUCUUUUGUACAGUAGGAUAGAAUCACAUAAGGUAGAUUAUAUGUAUCCUGGAGGUUAUGGUAGAUUAAUAUAGACAACUUGUAACAUAUACAUUUUUAUAUUAGUGAUAUACAAGAAAUGGAAGUUGAAGGACUCAGCUACUUAUGGCUAAUGAAUUUGUUCAGGGUUCAGAAGACCGUAACCGGAUGGUUUGAGUUUCCAACGCAUUUGCAGCAUUGCCUUUUUCAAAUUUUAGUAAGCCCCAAAAUUACACCACUGAAAUUAAGCAACCAAACUCAGUAAAGGGAUACGUUCAAAAUGCAGAUAUUACCUUAUUACAUCCAAACAAAACGUAUGAAAUAUCAUGUUUAUGGGAAUUCCUAGAUUAGUGUGAAUAGUCCCAAGAGGAGCAACAAUAUCACCAACAUCCUCCCCGGAAGGCCGAAACAUGGCCCUUAUAGAUUUGGGAUAACACAACAAACCUACAGAUGCAAAGCAUGACAGUGAAACUUUGCUCAUAUGUCAGCUUAUUAGUGCAACCAGAAAACCAUAAUGCUUUUAGAAAAUAUUGGUCACUUGGAAAAAUAAAUAAACACAGAUUCUAGAGUACUAAGUGACAAUGUGUUACCGGUAUUAUGAGCAGCUCUGCAGAAAUCAAAGUUCAGUUCUCACAAACUCAGCUUCAUAUUUCAGUCUAUUUGUUGUUCACCUUUAACCCCACUUCAGGUGGGUUUCAUUCUCAUGCUUCAUGAUAGCAUAAGCAGCAAGUAUACAGUACCUUAGUCUUAAAAAAACAUAUAAUUUUCUUCCCUGUUACAUUGUGUCGUCAGUGGUGUUCCCCAUAUAAUUGACAUAUAUUCUUUGAACAUUCUAAAAGAAAAAAGGGGAUCAAACUUGUUACACACAUGUUCCCCAAAUAAUUGACUUUCUCCUCUAUCAAAAUCUAUUUGACAGAGAGAAUGGGUUAAAAUUCAGAUAUAUUGCCAGACUUACAGUUGUACAUAAUUGAAGUUAAGAACAAAGCAUUUCAAAAAUAAGAAACAAGGGAAUAUGAAACAUAUGAAAUUUGUAAACAAAGAAUGAGCAAAACAACAAAACAUGUGCAUCCAAAACUUAUUUAUUCCUACUUACUACUUACAUGAAUUAUAUUCUGAGUCUUCUGAGUGAGUUCCAGGUACCAAUGAGCCAAAUGGAAUCACGAUCAAAUUCGUUAGCAAGUGAUUGACGAACCGCCUAUGAUUUAUCGAAAUUAUGUCCAAUUAUGCUAUCUCAGAUAAGCAUCAACAUAAAAAUUUCCUACAACAACCUUCAUUUAUAUUAAAAGAUCAUGCAUUUUACUUGACGCUCUUUUACCAAAAUAUUGCAGUAAUCAAGUCAUGACCCAAAGAUUUCCGCACAUUUUACGGACUACAAAAUUAUAAAUCACCACAUGAAUUUAUUUUGUUUCAAAAUACCGCGCCAGAUUGCCAGAAGACCAUGAGUAAGAAAGAAGUGUCUACUCUUGGCAAAAGUCUAAACUACUCCUAAGUGCCCAUCGAUGGAAGGAAAUCUCAAUCAAUACAGGGGCACAUUGAGGAGUAAGACGGAGAGAGGUAUGGAUAGGGUUAGUUACCUUGAGGUGCUGGAUGCCGAACGAGUGGUCCAUGAGGGCCAGGGGAGAGUAUCCGGCGAUGGAGAUCGCCUGCGCAAGGGACGCCGAUGACUGUCAGCAGCAUGGUGCUGCCCCCGCCAAGCGCAGCCUCAACGGUGGCCAACAGGCGGCGGCGGCCAUCGUCUUCAUCAUCCGCCGCUGCUUCAUGUGUGAGGAAGAGGAACGGCGGAGGGCGCCUGCGCAAGGGACGCCGAUGACUGUCGGCAGCAUGGUGCCGCCCCCGCCAAGCGCGGCCUCAACGGUGGCCAACAGGCGGCGACGGCCGUCGUCUUCAUCGUCCGCAAUUGCUUCAUGUGUGAGGAAGAGGAAUGGCGGAGGGCGCCCACGCGGGAGACACUGAUGACGUCGAGCGCCCCGGUGCCGCCCCCGUCGAGCGCGGCCUCGGCGGGGGCCAACUGGCAGUGGAGGCCGCCAUCGUCAUCCGCCGUUGUGUCGUGCGAGAGGAGGGGCGCUGGUGACGAGACGUCUCUGGAGUAGGGGAUGGGAUGGGGACGAUGGCGGAUCUGGAGGGCUAGAAAGGAGGAGGUGGAUCGAGAGAACGGAAAGAACGGGUGCGUGGAGAACGGUGGAACGUGGUGCGGGAGAGAGGAGCUAAUUACGGCCGUGAUUGAUUGUUGGAUUGUUUUUUUUUUAGGGUUCAGAUAGGGAUGGUUUUCUUGGGGUGCGGGGAUCGGACGGGUGGGACGAGUGCGACGGAUGAACGUACGUACCAAACUCGAAAUUAAGUAGUAGUAAAGAUAGGGUGCUAAAUUAGGCAUUUGCAAUGACAGGUGACAGUUCACGUGGGUGCCAUGCUUUCCUUUUCCGUGACAAAUAGUACUCCCUCUGAUUCUAAAUUCUUGACUCAAAUUUGUCAAAAUAUGGAUGUAUCUAUUCUUAAAAAACGUCUACAUACACGUAAUAUUUUGACAAUAAUUUAGUAUUGGAGGGAGUAGUAUGUAUGUAAGGUUCGUGCUAACCUACAUGUUGACCCUACAAGCAAUUUUUUCUUUGAAAGCAUGCCAAAAUGCCAAAUUAGUCCUUAAAAAAAAGCUAGCCAAAUUAAAGCAUCCGGUUUUGUUCCUCAUCGUUCAUUUCCCUCCCUCCCUCCUUCCCUCCCACCCAUGUUGUCGUACAAUUGUUUUUUUUAACGGGUAAGGCUUCUCAUUUCUCAAAUAAUAGUACAAUUGGGUUUACCUGCCAUUUGCUGCCCAGCCACUAAUUGGUGCUUAUCUUCACGCCUUGUCGCCCCCUUGCAAUGGCAUUCAUCGGUUGGUUAAAAAGGGAAAAACAAGUUUGCAGCACCGGUACAUUUGUACAUCCUUUUCUAUCCACGCAACCACGCGAGGCCGGACGACACGUGCUGAUGCGACUGACGGGAAAGCUGGUUUGGACGGAUGAGCAGAGAGAGAGAACCCGCGCUCGAGCCGCACGUCGGUUUCUUCUUGCAGGAUAAACAUUGCACGUACCAAACGAGCAAAAAUAAGGAACCGGGUGCCAUAUAUAUCCACUCGAUCGGCUCGGACUUUGUCGCCGCCGCCGCGGCUGCUGCUCCUGGCGUCCCGCAGACAGAUUCCCACGAGCCUUGGGCUUCAUCACACGGAUGCCUGUUACCACUCGAUCGACCAGCCCAAAUAGUCUAGCCGUCCGGACUUCGCGUGCGUGCUGCUCAUAUAAUUGUUGGUUGCGUGGGGGCAAUUAUUGACGUACGUGUAGGCGCGCGUACUAGGAUUAAUCUAUCGACGACCACCGUCAUUCACGAGGUCCGGUCGCGUUUGCUAUCGAGCCCAGGCUCCUAGCUAGUUCGACCGGAUAAGGCCGUUCCCGAAUCUAGUCUCAGUGGCAGUAGAAGAACAGUAGCAGCAUUCUGGUGUGUUCUCUGCCAUUGCUCAUGGGGAAAUAGCGGUGUGGUUGAUCUGGUGGAUUUUUGUGCGGAACCCGACAAGCAUGCAUAUUAAAUGGCUUAAAUUUGUCAAAUAAAUAUAAAUGCAUCUGAAACCAAAACGGGACGGAGGAAGUACCAGUAGUAUAAAAGAACUGUGCACAUAAUGCAUGGACGAUGAAAUGGCCUCACAUGGCGAUCGACCGCGCGCGCUUAGGGCGCCGGCACACGUAGAAGAGAGCCUCGUGCUCGCGCGCGAGCUGAGCAUAUAGCACGUACGGUCCGAGCGGCGUCCCGGGCGGGGAUCUGCAGCCUAGGCCUGUCCGGGGCGCCGUCGCAUCGGUCGAUCCAUCGAUGGCGGGACACGGGACACACUGCACACAGCACGAACACGUGCGUGCAUGCGCUAGCUGCAUAUGCCAAAUCUGGUCUCGGUUCACGUUGGUACGUACGCGCUCGAUUGAUCGAUCGAUGGACAACUGACGUAUCGAUUCGAUACGUCAGGGAGGGCUACGUACGGAAAGCUAUAGCUAGCGGGGCCGCCAGAAUCGAGCAGGGGCUCGAUCGAUUCAGAUUCGAUUCGAUCUGGGGUCGAGAAAUAUGUGUGUGACUAGCUGCUGCUAUACGCACGUGCAUAAUACUACUGGUAUGCUACACUUCUCGUUAACUAAGAUGAUCUAUCAGCCGGAGGUGGCCCGUUAAAUUGAAGAGAGGGAGAGAGAAACGUUCAAACUGAAAGGAAAAAAUGGUGUAACUAUUUUCAAACAAAGGUAUUAAAUGUCGAUGGACAUGUCAGAGACAUCGGAUCAAGAUCCGAGGGUCAUCCACACUUUCCCCUCCGUAACGUGUUAUCGCUGGAUUAAAAUCUGACGACCAACAGGGGCGGAGUUACAGCGUAGACAUUGGGUUCAGAUGAGGAAUUGGAUCCGAGCCUACACAUAUGAACCCCAUGAUUAUAGUGUAAUGAACCCAGUGGUUUCCUUUUCUGGCUCCACCCGUGACGACCAAUCACGUCGACUUGUCUCUAACUAAAAAAAUACAGACGACUUCUUAAUAGCAAAACAUGAAAAAGGAAUAUAAUGUCUCUGUAAAAUAUAGAAAGACGUGGUUCUCCGUUAAGAUGUUGUGGUUAUUUCUCUUCUGUCAGUUGACCAUUUUUGUCCCCGUCUGAUCCAGCGCCGCUCCGUUACCGUACCAUGUUUUUUCACGUCAUUAUCCGUCCGUAUUCCUUAUUUGUUUUUGCAUUCAUAUCAUGUCCGUGCCGCUUCCAAACCAAUGGAAAUUGUGAAAUAAAAUAUGGUACUAUAUAAAAUCAUUAUCCGGUCCCGUUUUACAUAUAUGCUAUAUUCCUCAAGUAUGUACAUCGAUCGCGGUCUUGUAUGAUUCAAAAACAAAAACGAAAUAUCAGUAGAGAGCAAGCGUACAUGCACACGCAGGAUAUGCUUUCGUUGGUUAAUUCGGUGUACGUACGGACCACCGCGAUGUCUCUGCGCCCGUCGACGUCACACACGCUUACGUGAGUGCGUGCGUACAGUCGGUGAUUAAUCGAUCCGGAAACGUGCCAAUAUAGUCUGCAGCCGCGCCGGCUUUUUAUACUCCCUGCAAUCAAUGCACCCGGCCCUCUCGUUUCGGCCGAAAACUGCAUACCACGCUCGAUCGAAUCAUCCAAGUAUACAGAUACACACAUGCUUCUCGAUGACUCGAUCGAUGGACUUACGGUAUAAUCGUACAGUAGUUGCUUUCGCUUCCAGACGUAGGUACACGGAACGACGAACCGGGAAAAACGGCCCUCCUGCUCCUGGCUUGGAAUCAUUCCACCUCUGGUGGAAAUCCUGGACCACCCGUACGUCCAUAUGCUCCCUUGCGAGUUGCAGACACGUUAUACGUACUCAUGUAAUCGCUCCGUUUCAUAAAAAUUGACACGAUUUUAAAUCAGAACUAAGUUAAAAUCAUGUCAAUCUUCGUGAAACGGAGGAAGUACCUGACAGGAAUGCAUGCAGGGAUCAGGCACUCCAGUUUGGAGUUGGAACGGGGCACACAUGUGGAAAAAGUUUCGAACUAACAAGGUGGCGACUGCGACCAAAGCCAGAACCAUUUUUUGUCGAGCACGAUCGAUCGACCUGCAGCGCCAGAGCCACUAGAGGGCCCAGAUCAGCUUGCCCCGCCCCAAUUCCAUGCGUUCCGGUUGUUUCCUUUCGAGCCCCCUGCCCCAGUUGCCUGCCCUUUUAUCUCUCAGCGAUCAGUUACGUUCAUGCAUUCUUGGCCACACGUACCUACACUACAAUCGGUACUACUACGUACAUGCGAGAUAGCUAUGUCCCGAUCGAGCCUGCAAUUAACGGCAACUCGACCGAUCAAUCUGCAAGUAGAGACAGUAAUCUCGAAUUUGGUUCAAAAGCAGGCAGCGAAUCCUGGAACGACCAAGUUACACGGUACUCCUAUGUAAGCUAGUACUAGUACAACUAGUAGCAUGCCACCGGUGGAUCACUCACCUGGGGAUACAAAACCGUUCUCCUUCGAUUAGAGUCGUCUGCAUUAUUGACAGUUUCGAUGGACCAGGCAGACAGAAGCAAAGCCUGGAUGCGCGCGGGAUCCACUUGUCCAGCAAAAGGGCACGAAUCGGGGAGGUCACAGGACUUAAACAUACGAUAGGCCACGCGAGCCAAAGGCGUGCCGUACUGUGCUGCCCCUGCCUGGCCUGUCGUGUGAUGUGACAGAAAAAAAUUAAAGGGAGCGGCGAACCUGCGUUUCAUGAUCAUUGAUAGAUGGAUGGGUGGAUCGAGCUAGUAUUAAGCUGGUUGUGGUGUGUGUGUGUGGAGGGGGGUCUGUCUUUGAAAAGUCGACGCUGCAUGCGGACGUUCAGUUUCAAGUGGCGUGCAAGAUGUUCCUAGUGAAAAUGUGAAAUCAUGGGGGAAAUAGGCGAAGUUUGCAGGGUUGAACGGCACACCGCGUUUGGCUGACGGCUCUAUGCGCGGAUAUGAUGUUUUCUUUUUAACGAAUAUUCUGAUAUUUUUCAAUACCAAAACCGUAUUCGGAGUUAGCUGGCGUCUGAAUUUUAAACAGAAGACUUAAAUCUCCGGACUCUUGAAUUAAGAUCUAAGUGUCAUCCCCACUCUCUCUUCUCCCGCAUGCUGUUGUUGGAUUAAGAUCCAAUGUUCAAACACGUCAGCUGAUCGCUAACUAAGAAACAAGCGACUUCUUAAUAGCAAACCGUUUUCUGAAUCCCCACAUUCGAUAAUAAAAUUCCACCGGGAACCUACCAUGCUGUAUGCAGAUAUCGACCUUCUUUUUUUGGAUUGUGAUAAGUGUAUUUUCAUAGUUUAAAUAUUGUUCACGGUGCAAAUUCCGCCCUUGCGUGGCGGGUUAUUGGACAUUCAACUGUGGAUACCGAGCUUAGCAAAUUUUUGUCGAACUCUUUUUGGAAUGGAAUGGAUUAAUACAAUUUGACUAAGAGUCAUCAUUUUUAUGGUUUAGGGUGGUGGCUGCACCCCAAAACCUACCAAGGAUCGAACCCCAGGUUUGACCCUCGGCGUGUCUCAUUUGAGCCGAAUUUCUUUUGGCAGUAGGAGAUGCAAUCCGUUCACGCUUCACACUGAAGCGUCAGUGACUUCGUCGAUCUCAAAACGUUUUCACGAUUCUGGUCAUCCGUGUGAGUGUGUGCGCACGGCGGUGUACGUCGUGUGUGAUCAUUGUUCCUAAAAUAAAGUACUUCCUUCGUCUAACAAAGGAUGUCUGAAUUUUGAUUAAAUUUGAAUGCAUCUAUACAUCAAGUCAUGUCUACAUACAUCAACAUUUUGACAAACUUGAGACAUCUUUUGCUGGACGGUGAAAGUAUAGGAGCCCGGGAAUAGCCGCAUCUUAUUACAAGCAAUUAAUAUUUCGACCCUGAACCAGUUUGAGCUUAACCCCAGUGGAUCGGAAUCGGGUUCACUGAGCGAGCGAGCGCUCCAUUACAGAUUUUUACAGGCACUGAGGCACCGUCUCUUCCUGCUGCCCCCCUCCGGGGAGCUAGCUGCGUGCUAUGGACCGCCCAUUCGUGGAACGGGCUGUACCCACCAAUACCUACGUACCUGCGCGCCUGCCAUGCCACCCCUCUGCCACGGGGGGCUGUCGGCUCCAAAGAAUCAUGCAAUAAUUACCAGCUUCUUCUAUCGGCGGCAUACAGAGGAGAGGAUUGAGCUUUUGAGCAUCUCGUGUGCAGAGAGAAUCUCUCUGCCCGUUCGCGCCAGGUGGAUGUAUUUACUUGCGCCAGGAGCAAACGAGCAACUCGUGACCGCCUACGCACGUUUCCCCGACUAGACAAGUCAAUUGGUGAAAAUUGGUGAAAUUGGCAGCUAGCUUAUUUAUCCCUUUAUCCAUUCGCACCCACCCCACCCCGGCCACCCUCCGCGCUGCGCAUGCAUGCAUGUCCUCGUGGGCUCUCGAGGACUUGAAGUACGUACGUCGCAUGCAUGCAGAUAAGACGGAGCUAGAGAGAAAGCCUCUUCUUUUCGCUCGUGGCCCGGCAUGUGCAUGCCAAUGGCAAUGCCAGCGUCCCAGUCAGCUACUCUCUCCGUUCCAAAUUCUUGCCUCAAAUUUAUCCAAAAAUAAAUAUAUUUAUUUUUUAAAAACGUUUAUAUACAUGUAAUAGUCCGACAAAAAUUAUGAAACGGAAGGAAUACUGACCAUAGCUAUGGUCAGUACAACUCCUAGUGACAAGUGCAAGCAGGGGAAGUUCAUACUCUAUGUGGGAGGUGCAAUGCAUCUCUCGCUCUAAAGACGUGGUACUCCUAGACUACAGGACUACCACGUACUGGAUUCAUCGAGAUGUGAUGGAACGGUGUACCAGGGUGCGUGGCAUGCAUGUAGACGCCGGGCCGAUCGAUGUAUGUCGAGAGCGGGAUAUGGACAACGAAAAAGGGUGUGGGCAGGGUAGGUGUUCGAUCAAAAUCCACGGACAGUUCCAAACUGAGGAGACCAUGGGGAAACUACUGGACAUCGGGGGUAUAGUGUUCACGUGACGUCAGAACUGGGGAGAGCUACACAACCUCAAGUCGUCGUCUUCUGGUAAGCAAGAGGACCCUUGUUUGGGAGCGCAAUGCAAGUGCAGAUGUUGUGCAGGCGCAGCAGAGACGUGACCCUUGCAGAAGAAAACGCGAAGAGCCGGGUAUAGUGGAUAUGUGGAUGCGUGAAUUAUCGUGGGCCGGGCCGCUUCAAAGCCUGGUAACGCGUGUCGUCGUGGCCUGGCCCAGAUUAUGCUGCUCAUCCGUCCAGCUCGCAAUACAUGAAGAGAAGUUCAAAAACCCGCUGUCCACUUUUGCAUUUAUCCAACGUUUCCUUGAUGAUUUGUCUCUCAUUCGUGAUGUUGUCCAUGCUGUGACACCGGAGCCUCCUCCUGGUGGUGGUCGCCUUGUCCCGCCCACCAACCGCUGGUCUCCUCCGUCGGCUGGUAUGUGUAAAAUUAAUGCGGAUGCUGGAGUUGCAAGGUCAGGUGCAGGUGGUUCUUGUGCUGCGGUCUGUCGCGAUGAAUGUGGAAGAUUCAUGAGAGCCUCUUCGAUUACAAUCGAGGGCAUGACCGACCCUACAAUACUUGAAGCAUUGGCAUGUAAUGAAGGCUUGUCUCUGGCCUUGGACCUUAACAUCUCAAAAGUUUGUGUUGUUUCGUACUGCUUAACGGUUAUCAAGAGUCUACAACAAGAUGAUCUUUGCUAUUAUAGUGCGAUCAUUAAGGAUAUUGUGGCAAGGAAGGAUCAGUUCCGUGAUGCUGUUUUCAGACGUGAGAAGAGAACUCUUUAUAGAGAUGCUCAUAAUCUAGUUAGAGCGGAGUUACCGCUUUCUGUUGGCCAUCAUAUUUGGCUUUUAAGUACCCCAUGCAUUACUUGUAUUCCUGUUCAAGUUGGUGUUGAAUAAAGCUGGCCUUUCCCCUAAAAAUAAAAUAUCCGUCCAGCAGAACUGAAUCCCCAAUAGCGCGGUUACAAGACAAGAAUGAUUAUGUAAUUAUGUUCCUUGUUAUCGUUUCACUUUGCACCACAGAAAGAGUGCUCUGUUUGGCUCCACCAAGGCAAAAGGAAAGAGAAACAGGAACCGAGGAGUGUCUCAUUGUCAAUUACUAAUUCAGCCAACGAACCCAUAAAACAUGUACCGACGCAAAUGCAAUUCAUCAGAAGUGUUCUUCAAGGAAGAACACAGACAGGGUAUCGGACUACCGGUGACUAUGUUUGGAUAUCUUACAUGCUCAGAAUGCUGCGGGCGAGUUAACUGGGAAAUAAUUGAAGAUGAAGAAAGGACACAGCAAGUUACAUAAGCGGCAACAGAUUUUGCUAGAGUGGCACAGCAGUGGCAGGUGCUGGAACAUGCACCUCAAAUACAAUCAGGAACUCGAACUGUUUAUAGCUUUGGACACUUUCUUCCAUCGCAAAACACUUCGAGUUUGUUCUUAUCAAGCAAAUGGUUUUCGAUUAGGCCCAGAUAUGACAUGGUGUUAUUACAUGCAUAACAGCGCUGGCUUGUCAAGCACCACUGGCAUACAGGCGAGUCCACUCCUUCGCUGCAAAGCAAAAAAAAAAUUGACAUGUUAGGUACAAAAAGCAAUGAAAAGUGGAGCAAAAUGACAUGCUAGUGUAUCAAAGUGCAGUGUUAGCGUGCGGCUUUGUUGGCUGAAUUUUCAGUUACCUGUCUCGACAGCUUCAGCUUCAUUGGAUUUCCAGUGUUUUGCCACGUUUUCUGAGAGCGGAUCAUCUGGAUUCGGAGCGCUCAGCAGUGCCUGAAUGCUGCAGACCAAACAUUGUAAAGAGGCAAAAAAAAAAGAGUAUACAAUAGUGGAUACAAGAAGCAACCCUCUGGAAAUACGAUAAUAUGAUACGAUCAUGAACUAUAAUGAAACUAUUUGGCCAAACAUGCCACGGAAGACAGAAGAGGUUGCUACCUCAAAAGAACAGUACGUAUCUGAAGAGCUGGGCUCCAUUUGUCCUUCAGGAUAUCGAGGCAUAUCCUACCAAGCUGCAGUGCAAGUCAAUCCGAAAUGAGAAACUGUUAUCGAAUGAAGUUCCAUUGAGAAUAUCAGUUCCCUACCUUGUCAAUGUUGGGAUGGUAUAUUUUUGUGAGAAACCUAACCUGCGUCAGGAAUAACCAAAGAGUGAUGUCCAUCAGAAAGAAUCACAACAGAGACAACAUACAGAAAAGUCAAAUAGAAUUGUGUAACUACUUUGGUUAGACGACAGUGUCACACUAAAACUAAAACAACCAUGUUGAUAUCCGUAAGAGUAAAACAGUCCAAGGACAGGAGUUGAGAACAAAAUAUUCAGCUACCUCUUAUUUAACAUGAUGGAAAUUACUACUCCCUCCGAUCCAUAUUAAUUGUCGAAAUAUUACAUGUAUCUAGACAAUUUUUUAGCCAUAGAUACAUCCAUAUUUGGGCAAAUUUGAGACAAUUAAUAUGGAUCGGAGGGAGUAUUAGUCUGAGUCUCAGAUGAUAUAUCACAAUGUCAGUACACUCCAAAUAUAGCAUUGCCAAUUAAGUAAAGUAAAGUACGGAACUGUGCAAAGGAGAUUAGUUAAGUGAACGGAGAGAGAAAUCUAGUAUGGAUACGAAAAGUAUUAACACAAUACUAAACAUGGGCAUUCAGUAUUCCUGAUCACAAAGAUGGUAUGCAAAUCUAUUAAUGGUACAUAUCAACAACAAACAUGGGCGCUGCCCAAAAUAAGAUGUCACAAUAAAUUGCUGGUUUCGGUUAACCACAGGCAUAAUUAAACGUCCAUCCCACUGUCGCACCAUAGCAUGAUAAAAUCAUUGCGAAGAUCGCUCUGCCAGAUUUUGAACUCAAAUUUCAGUUACAACUUACAACUAGGAAAUGAACCAAAUUCCACAUCAAGGAGCCUACCGGGACAAGAAAAUCCAUCACAAUAUGUGUCAAACUAAUAACUUCUUAAACAACCAUCCACUAAUACUUGAUCAAAAAAUUACUUUUGGAGCAGCCAUCGGAUAUUCCUCAGGUAAGAAAAGUUCAAGCUUGAAAACUCCACCUGUCCAACACAUAUUAGAAGAAAUAUCAGGAGGACCAGACACAGACAACUAAACAAAAUAAUGUUUCACCCAAUUAAAAAUGUCAUAAGCAAAUACAGUAUACAAAGAUAAGUAAACCAAGCUUAAAUAAAUAAGAUAACAUAGUGACAAAUGUACUGUCUAACAAUAGGAAAACAGGUCGUUCUGUGUACCAUUUAUCAUAUACAUGCACCGCAUUUCAUUACUCCAUGUUGCAUGGAAACAUGGUAGAUAGUUCCUUGUGCCGUAUAUCAGUAAACUUCAGUAAUCGCAAAGGUUAAGGAAACCCAAGACAUUCAAUUCCCAUAGGUUACUGAUAUAUGGUACAGUUGUAGAUCUAGCAUGUUAAGGAAACUACAAACUUGUGCCCCAUAUCAUAUCUAAACUAAUAGCAGGUAUAACUGUUGAAGUAUAAGGUGAAUUGCCCUCAUUUCUCCAUCAGCUUAGGCUUUUAGGGGCACUGGUUCGGCCCAUAUGCAACUCUCCAUGGUAUCCGAGCCAAGAGGUCCCGAGUUCAAGCUCAAUAUAAUAAAAAGGCACUUUUGAUCCAUGAGGGGGAGUGUUGAAGUACGAAAUGAAUUGCACUCGUUUCCCCAUCAGCUUAGACUUUUGGGUGAACUGGUUCGGCACAAGCAACUCUACAAAAGGCAGUCUUCCUAUGUGGAAUAACUUCUACAAAUAAAAAACCAGGUUCACUAGAGCUUAAGAUAACCGAUGAAAUGGACUUGUCAAGCUAUAUUUUGUGAUGGAUUCAACAAAGCAGAAUCUCAAAGUAUAGAAUCCAAAAGGCACAGAAGAGUACAAUUACCACUGGAACAGCUGGGUACAAGAUGGUCGGAUUGCUGGUCUAGCAAACAUAAGUUUAGAAGUGUAUAGUUCCGGCAGCACUAGAACAACACCUUUAUGUGACCAUCCUGAUAUGAUCAUCCAUCUGUGAUGUUUUACUACAUAUUUGCAGCAUUUUACAAACAAAAAGAGCCAUAGAUACGAAAAUGGGGACGCGGUGACCACAGUUACAGUCCUAAAUUGCCACAGAACUACGCAUUCGUGCUCCAAAGUAUUACAGGGUUAUCGGCAUACGAAACAUUCCAACAGAAAUAAAAUGAAAAGGAGGUUUUACCUUCAUAAGGAGACUGCGCCGGACCAAGGACCAUGACAUUGAAGUAGCGCAUGUUCUCCUCCGACGGCGACGCGCUAAUCCCCGGCGCUGCACGCACCCCCCCAACACACGAAUCAGCACAAACAUCCGAGGCUCGAACGCGGACAACACAACAGGAGCAUCGAAUUCUAGGAAAACGAACCUGGUUCGCUGAGCAGCCGCUGCGUCUCCUGCAGCAGAUCCAAAUUCCGAACAGAUUAGGCACCACGCACAAGGAAUAACCAGACGAUAAGGUUAUCAUAUCGCGUUAGAGUCUCAGAAACGGCUGUAGAUCUGGGGGGGUGAGGGGCGAUCGGAUCGCGGGGUAGGGCGCGCGCACCUUGAUGAUCCGGCGCGGGAGGUUGCUGUUGGCCAUGGAGUCCGGCCGGGGCUGGAGCGAGAGCCUAGAGGGGAGGGGGGGAGGGACCGCCUCGAGCUUCGCGCGGCGACGGAGGAGAAGACAGCGCGAGAGAGGUCAAAGGAGUCGUCGAUCUGUCGGGGAGGGCGAGCCGGGGGAGGAGGCGACGAACGAACAGAAAUGGGUCAGGGUCCGAUACUGUGUACCACGUAUUUAUAAACUCCACGCUACAGCCGCUGCUGCUGAUAUUUUCCUUUUCCUCUUGAGCUGGUGUUUUCGUUUUAUACUCUACCGACCUGUUUGUUUGUCCUUCUAUUUCAGUUUUUUUGCAUCUGGCAAUCUUAAAAGCAUCUUUUCUGUUUACACGUGAAGCUGAGAGGCACCUCCGAACAUGCUAAACACUGUUUACACAUGAAGCUGAGAAGCACCUUCGGACGUGCUAAACAGAAAAAGUGCUUUUGAGAUUGCUAAAAGUACCAAAAACUGAAACAGAAGUCCAAACAAAUAGGCCCAGAGUCUGCUGGAUUGUGAAUUUGAAUACGCACACGGCGAAAUCAAAAUACGAAGUCAUGGCCACUAUGUUUAAAAUAAAAUUCGUGUACUUGGACAAAACAGAAGUUGUUCGGUGAAUAAAAAAACCCUAGAAAUGAUUUUCCGACGUAAUAAACGGUAUAAUAGUACUACUAGUAGUACGAGGGCUGCUGCAGCGGAGAUUAAAAAAAAACGGUGUUCGUUUUAGGUGAGCCAGGGAGAGCAUCUCUCCACGCGAAGGGAGCACACAAUUUAUGCAUGUGCAGAGAGAGAGAGCACGGAGAAGAACAACCUUUGGGUUUGCCUAAUUGCAACGGCCAACUUGUGACUUUGUGUUGUGCGCGCUCGUCGUGGAAGGAUCUCAGGCGAAAAGGAAGGUGGGGGAAAGCUCGAUUAUUCUCCGCAGCUUCAAUCCCACGCUAAGCCGCCUGGUCGAAAAGGUUUGGCUGGCCAAACCGGUUUUGCAUGGUACUCCGUAACAUGUUUUUCAAGUUUUUUAGAACUUUGGAGGAACUCGAAACAAAUUGAGAGCAUACGCUUUCUAAGAGUUGAAAAGUAUUAUUUUCGAAGCACGGGCAGUCGGGCACGGGCAUCAGAGCAUCUCCGUUGCCAGUCGCUCGAAGCGAAGAGAAAUCACGCACUUCCUCUGCUACCGAAGCGAAGGCAGGAACAAGAACAACAGCGACGAGACACAGCCAGAAAUUCGGCAUAGUAUUUGCUCAGGGCUAGAUUCCACUGUAUUCGCUGUAAUCUGGUAAAGCAUGUCGCAUGUGCCCAGACUACAGGAGGAUUUCAAGACAAGUAUCCAGUCCUGUCUUAUUUACAACAGAUAGCGUGCAAAACUAUGCUCAAGAAUCAAGAUAGAUAAAUAACACUGGAUUUCCCCAGUACUUGCUACUUCACCGAACUACGGAGUACAACUGGUAAAGAAUAGUUUCACAAGUCGGAUCCUGAGAUCACAAUGAAAGAGAAGAUACAACAGGGAGUAUUAAAUCUGCACAUGAUCACAAGGAAAUCCAGAUGCACAUGAAUCCAGACAAUAGGAAGAACAGGGAACAGUUUGACAUAUUUUUUCUAAUAAAACAGAAGGUCAGAGUUGCAUGCCUACAUUGUCAACAAAAUAAUAGAUGAAUUGCACGAACAUACCUCAACGACUCAAUGUCAACAUGGAUUUACACUAACAAUUUUUAGUCUUUGACCUUUCAUACUCUUCAGAAUUAAUUAUUACCAGACUAAAAACUACAAUGCACCUAAGAACACGAGCUUUCGCUUCAGAAUAUCCCAAGGAUGGUGGGGGCAGGUGGAGCACGCCAUCAUUGGAGAGCAAGAGCAACGCCAUGUCAUUAACUGAUCAUCUUCAAAUGAUAAUCUGUAGAAGAGACAAUGGACAAGAGUCAAUUGAUCGCUUCACCAAACAGUAACAUUACAAAUUUGCUAUACAGGCUCCAAACAAACUGAUUUUCUAUCAGUCUACGCUUAAACAUAGCAGUUAACAGGGGCAAAGCUUAACACAGGCCCAUCAGCAAUCAUGCAGAGAACAAGGCAAGGCAGAUCAUCCAUGGGAAUCACACAACAAUCCACAAGGAAGCAUGCAUUACAUUCUUUGGAAAGCCAAUCAAGAGAAAUCUGGGUUCAGCGAUCGGAAAGAUUUACAAUGGAUAAGAUAUGUCAAAAUUUCAGUACUGGAAACUUCAGUUACAAAGCAAUUUGAUAAAUCUUACAUGCCAAGACAAGUAUAGAAGAUAUAUCUUUAUAUAAUAAUACUGACUCGUAAUUGUUAGGCUUACAGCAAAAAAAAGGUUAAGUUUCAUUAAACAAGCUUAUUUAUCGGUCUCUGAGGAGCUGGGUUACCUGUAGAUAAAUGGGACCAGAAACUAAGAGGUUACCUGUUGACUCAAGCUUAUGCUUAUUUUGGCGAUACACGUACUCUUAGGCUGGACAUAAUUCACCCUAACGAUUCUCACUAAGACAUGAGAAAGGAAUUCUAGUACGGAAAGGAAGUGAAAACCAGCGCAUGUGCAUCCAAGUGACUCCUAGUGAAACAGCACAGAGAGUGUCCCAGAUCGAUUUUAACUCUGAGUCACCAAGUGGUUCGUCGGUAUCAAUUUGAUCCUAACAGAUUCCAGGCAAUACCAUCAUAUGUCACCCAGUCAUGAUUUCCAGGAAAAGAAUAUAAGUAUUUUCAUCAUACAGACAGAAUUGAAGAAAAACUAUUAUUAGACCAUACAUUAUGGUCUUUCAUUUGUCAUGACAAAAAUGUACUCCCUCCGAUCCAUAAAAGGUGACGCCCAUUUUGUACUAAGUUAGCACAAAUUUUGUACUAGGUGGGCGACACAUUUUAUGGAUCGGAGGGAGUAAUAAGAAACACUAAAAGCUCAAGAUAGAAACUAUGAUUAGUUAGUUCAAUCUUUUAAUAACACCUAUGACAUAACAGAGCUGCACAAUUAUAAUUCUGUAAAUUUUAUCACACCCAAAAACCCAGAGAACCAAACGAUAAGAUACAUAAGUACUUAAAUCUACAAUCAUAACGAGAUGGUCAACAUAUCUCAUCAAUGCACAAAAUUAAAUAGAAAAACACACGACGAAAACAUCCACCAAACAUUAUCUACUGAAGACACAAAAUAUAAAUAGAAUCUCACAAAGCCUACACCAGGAUAGAUCUUAUAUGUGAAUAUCAAUGCUCAACAGGACCGAAAGCCUUAUUUAUGAAGGUUAUCGCACAUUUGGGCUAAGGCCAUUGUAACAUAAAAUAGUCCAAAAUGCACAACAUAUGGGGUGGUCGGACUUCGGCAACGAAACUUCAGACAUACUCGCUAGAUUUUCCGAAGCAACAGUAUCUAAACUUUUUUGUUGCUAAUCCUCCGCAGCAACUCGAGCCAAUUGUUUACCAAGAUCCUUAUCGAGAUUAGCUAGAUUAUUAAACCUUGACUGUAGAUAAACGGACAUGUAUGUAACAUAUUGCUCAGAACAAUCAAGUCGGGCUCACCCAAGCUUGUUUACACCCAUAUGAAGGAAAGGCUUAUUGAAUUGCAUUGUCAGGAAAUCAGCACUUCCCCAAACAAACUGAAAGUACCUUUAUUCCACAACCUAUAAACAUCAAUGGAUAUACUCAGAACACAACAGCUUACAUGUGUGGACCUUCCCACCAUUAAGGCCAAACAUAGUAACAAUAAGUUCCACUUAUUAAAAUGUCAUUGUAUACAAGAAUGUCAGAUUAAAUUAUGCCUCUACACAAGCAUACCAAUCCUGUCACUAUCACUGAAAGUCUGAAACAUUAACUAACAGCCAACAUCAUGCCACAUAACUUGUAAUUUUAGCACAUCAACAUUAGCAUUACAGAAACAAUAGUAGCCACAGAUCACAUAAACGAACAAAAACAAUCUACAGCAAUGUUCUAAACUGAAAUGCUAAAACAUACUUUACCUAAAACCCUCGUCCGCAUCAGAGGUAAUUGGAGUUGGAAAGGAAAGGCAGCGCAGCAACGGAUGAAAUCAGCUCCACUCCACCAGCACCAUUGGAUGCAGCCCCUCCGCUCUUCUUCGUGCGCUUCACCCUUGCGAGCUUCACGUGCGCAUCGACGAAGUUCUCCAUGCGCUUCACCUCCAGCUGCUUCAGGAAGUCAAUUCGCUCGCGUUCCAUCUCUAGCGAAUGCUUUUGUUUCGCACUCUCCACGCGCUCAUACAUCUCUGCAAAAGCCUCAAUUGCCCUCGCCAGCUCGCUGACACCACUAUCCCCAUCACCGCCAGCCUCGCGACGAAAGGGACGCUUGUUGCUACCGCCGGAGCGCGCCGACGAGACAGAACGCGACGGUGACCUCCGCAAGUUGUCAUGGUGGUUGUUGUUGUUGUUACCACCAGGAUGAUCACCAGAGUCCUCCGAAUCAGACACCGCUGCAGCGGCGGCAGCGGCUUCCUGCUGGAUGAACGCAGCGGCAGGGAGCAGCGCCCCGCGGCGGUAGCUGGGGAGGGGCAGAGCCAUGGGCGGGGGCGGGGACGGCGAGGAAGAAGGCGACGGGUACUUCCUCGCGGCGGUAGAAGAAGGAUGGACGGGCAGGGCGAGGUGCGGGGCCAUCGCCGGCGAGGGCCGCUUGUUGGCGGCGGAGUUGAGGGUGGGGCCGACGAGUCGGUCGAGCUCGUCGAAGAAGCUCCAGCCCGACGGCGCGCCGCGGACGCGCUCGGCCUUGUACUUCUUCUUGAGGGUGUCGACGCGGUUCUUGCACUGCACGUCGGUGCGCGGCGGGCGGCGGCGCGCGGCGGCCCCGCGGCGCGAGUUGACGGCGUUGGCCACCUCCUGCCACUGCUUCUGGCGCAGGUUGCCGCGGUUGAGCUCCACGUAGCGGCUGCCCCACGCGUCCACCAGCGCCGCCGUCUCGCCCUCGCUCCAGCAGUCCUCCCGGUAGGGCAGGUUAGGGUUGGGCGGCGGCAGCCUCCCAAACCCUCCCCCUCCUCCUCCUCCCCCUCCUCCCGCCGCCGCCGCAGCAGCAGCCGCAGCCAUCUCCCUCACCUCCAUCGGAACCAGAUCUCGCAGGAGCAAACCCUAACCCUAGCUAGCCCGCCCGCCGAGAGAAGAGGACCGAGCGAGCCUCGGGGAAGUCGCGCGUGACGGUGGGCUAUGUGAGCGGUGGGGGGUUCGGGGUUGGAAUAAAAGGACACGGCGAGGGAAGGGGGGAGGUGGGGUCGCCGGCCGCGAGGGGUCCGGGUUCCGUCCGUCACGCACGCGGCACGUGACGCGUGACCGGCGAGGGGGGGGCGGCAUCGGCAUGGCAUAUCUCGCUCGCUCUCGUGUGUCGUGGGUGACCGGAUUCGGAUCGGAGACGUGCCGCCGUUGGAUUGCGUUUGACCGGGUAACCGGCGAUUACUUUCGGGUUUCGGAGGGCGGGUGGGAUAAUGACAGCCAGCCAGGCACAGGCAAAGCAGAGCGCGGCGACAGGCGACAGCCGGAGACCGGACGGAAUACGGUGGCUGGCGCGGGGGUGGGAAAUUACCGCGUUGCCCCUACCCCGGGGAGCAGGCCGGGGCGGCACGCGGCAGGGGCAAGGCGGGGAUUUCGCGUGGGGCGGCGCGGUGUCAGGGGGUGAGCUGGUCGCCGUUGGUCGGUUUGCGUUUCGGGGCCGCCGAAAGAGGGGAGAGGAGAGAGAGAGAAACGCGCCGAGGAUGAUGGGGAAGGGAGAGGAGACUCGCGAACCGAAGACACCGCUGCUCCUCGCUCUGUACUCCAGUCUAGGCUUCUAGCUAGACUCGGCGCGGUGGAGUGGGUGGGUGAAGAGACUGAGGCGCGGGGCCCGCGUGCAAGCAGGCAGGGCGGGCAAUUAUUGUCGCCUCUGGUGCCGUCGCUCGGUACAGAGGACGGACGGACGGACGGCGUGGGCAAAAUUUAAUCGGCGUGCAGCAGGUGCCGGCUGCCGCCUGCAGGCGCCGGUCCUUCGGAUUGAUCGGUGGAUGGAUGCACUCGCCAAUGGCAAUUCAUCCAUCAAACAUCAUUCGUUACUGUAUAUUUUGUGGCAAAUCAAGAUUAGAGGUUCAUCAUCCGUUUACCGUUUUGGUUUGUCCCCUGGCGUCAUCAUCACCGUCUGGGCUUUGGAACUGACAAUAUGGUUCUUUCGGUGAAAUUCAGGUGAAAGUAAAACUCCACCGGUAGAUAGCAGCGGCCAUGGUGCCGUCGUGGGAACAGAGCAGUACGUACGUUACGGGCUCGCGUCAAAUCCUCGACGGAACCGUGCCCGCUGCACCGGUGGGUGAACAGAACACCAUAAAUCCCUCGCGGCCGUGGAGAGAAGUCAGGGGAACCGCGUGUACGUACGUGGUCCUCUCCUGCUAGCUAUAGCUAGGCUGCCCCGUGCGACCGGCGGCGAGGAAACGGCACGCUCGGGAGCCGUCAACAUUGAAUCGGAGGGCCGGGCGGCCGCGAUAGCGUAGCGACCAGCGAGAUACUCAGUCAGUACGGGCUACUUCGGGCUGUCACGCACGCACCGAGCCGGACGGCCGGGCCGACGCGUCGGGCUUGGGAACCACCGGCGCCGCAGGGGCGGGCUCGGACCGCGUCCAACGCCGCAGGCUUUGCAAAGCUUGCGUUGCGUGUACCCCACGCUACCACGCGGGUCCCCUCCACCAAUCAAUUCCAGGCCGGACGGACGGCCGGUACCGUGUACCGACGCGUCGCCCGCCGGAUCUCCGUGGCGUUUUCCUUUGCCUUUAGUUGUGUACCCGCCCCGCUUCACGCCGGCCUUGUGCGGCAGUUGUGUACACACACGCACGCACUUGUACUACUACUGGUGGCCUUGGACUUUGCUGGUUGCUGGUGCGCACCCAGCUUUUUGCGAACGGUUCCGGGAAACGCCGGCGGAAACUUGUGCGGCGGGUCGGUCGGUUGCCGGGGAAGGAAGGAUUCUUCACACAAGCAACGUGAGAUCUGACCAAGGGGAGCAGCAGCCAGCCAGCACGAGCAGCAGUUCGGCGCUGGAGCUACGCGCGAGCUGGGGCAGGAGCUACACGCCAUGUACGUUGCGUCCCCGGGCCGGUUUGAUUUACGACCGGAAGAGCCGCAGCGUUUCCGGCGCGAUGACCGGACAAAUUAGCCGGCUUGGCCGAUGGCUAUACUAUAUCGGAUUGGACAUAUGGAGUGAUAGUGCUCCCGACAGGUAGGAGACGGACGGACGAGAGCGAGUAAACUGCUGCCUGCGACUCUGCGAGUCCUGCCGUGCACGGCUCCAUGGACGGACCGCACGUCCAUGGCCUGUGUAGCUCCGACCGCACCGGACGCAGGCAAGCGGGACGUGCUGUUCAUCCUGCAGACGGGACUGACCCAAGUUAUUGGAGACGCGUCGGCAUUGAAGCCUUUUCCAUUCUCAGGAGCAUGACGUAAUCACGGGAUCACGCACGGCGUGGGCAAAAGAUUACCAGCCGCGCCGCGCGUGCCUGACUGCCUGUGCAGCUGUGCUAUUUUGAGUGCAGAAUACAGUUCUUCAGAACCGCGCCUGUUUUUUGAGGCUAACUGAACAUGCAGUUCCAUACAAUUUCAAAACUCUACGUAUAAUACGGAAGGGUAAAAGAUACUGAGGCGGUCGAGACCACUGUCGCGACACGCGAAGCCUGAAAUCGUAGCGGAUUUACUUUUUCUUUCUCUCGGGGCAACGUCCAGCAACAGCAAGUGACUGCUUGCCGGUUCAUCUGGCCGGACUGAAGGUGCAGAACUAUCUGCUUCCAUGACCAUGUCAUCUUACUGAACUGAUGUUGAUGUUGAUCGAACGGAAACUUGGUAUUAGUGCAAUUUGCAUUUGGUAGACGGGGGGUGGGAUGAAGAAGCUGCAGCGCAUUGGUCAGGGCAGCAGAUGGAAAACGCUGGAGACGGAGGUCAAAGAAGACGCGCGUAAAGGAACCGGUCAGAACAGUGACUUCCUUACUGGAUUUAGGUGACAGGCUGAAAAUUGUUUAUACUUUGGCACGUUGCCUGGGACACAGCAGUGGACAAGUUCGGUUCGGAGAAUUCUAUCCUCCAGUCAUGUUCCUUCUCGGUGAUUAACUAUCAGCUCAUCUGCCAAUCACAUGUUCUGUGGUGACAGCAGCCAGCAAAAAUAACCGAACGGAUUAGUGAUCGCCUAGAUUAUGUAGCUCAAUUUGCAUGCGUAGUUUCAAACGGUAUAAAACGAUGCCUUCGAAGAAAUGGGAGUAGUAAAAAACAUGUGGACUCGAUUUGGGCCGGGCCGCGAUAUCUUCGGUUCUCCACCCUCUUACGCGCAGCGUUUCUUCUCAGUGUCUGCUCAUCACUUGCGUUAGCUUGUAUUGUUUGCCUUCGCUUAAUAUUAGUGCCAUGUUAUCAUGGCUCCAUCGCCCAGUCGAACGCCGGCUAUCAGUUCAAAUUAUGGAUAGUCUAUUGGCUUUGAAUAAUGCGUGUCCUUGCUCUGAUUCCGUUGAGUGUCAUUCCAAGAGUAGGUAUCUAUCAGAAGAAUUUUCAGCAAAUGUCAGUGCUGCUUGAAGUCAACGAGUACUAAUCACAACAUGUGUGAACAUUUGCCAUCCUCCUGCGGUGCACUCUGACCUGCAUUGGAGAGCUGUAUUGCAGCCUGAAGGUCUUCUUCUCUAUUCUACUUCUACAUAUCUACCCACGUGUAUAUGCAGUAUCCUCCGAUGGUUUAGCCCAUGGGCAAUGCAGUUGUCUGCUUCAAUUCUUGGUGUUUCAGAACUAGUAGUACUACUAGAUAUGAUCAGUAUGCUGGGGACAGGACAGUAUGAAUGUACGAUAGAUAAGGUCCUAGAACAUGGGCCACAGGUUAUGCAGAUCGCAGACACGAGUGUUUGGCUGGAACUGAUCUCCGAAUGCGAGACUCCGAGAAACGUUGAUGCCGCUUUCUGUCGAUCACCUUGAGCCAUUGUCCGUCUGCUGGCCUGGCAGGGAAAGUCUACGGAAUGCCAUCUCGAAAGCCAUGGAAAUUCUGUUUUGCCUGACAGAACUCUGGCGUACAUGAGCAACAGCGACCGGAGCGUGGUUUGCCUGCGUGCUUGACUGUAUGGUCACGACGAACACGAGGUGGCGACCAUCCGCCGCGUUAUCCAGGACUGCACCCGUCAGAGAAGGAUCCUUCACUUUUUGGGAAUCCAAUCACUUCGGGAUCCAUCAGAGCAGAAGACACGGCCAUUUCGCCGGCGGCUUUCCCCAUACAGUGCACAUCUCGUGAACUUCCGUCCAUAUUUUCUGGCCAAAUUUGCAAAGGAUUUGUGCUUUUCAGAGUGCAGCAAACGUAGCAAUACCAGGAAACUACGGAGUAGAAUAGGAAGGAACGUACGCCUGUUUGUUCGGGCGGCAAAGUCAGAGCGACACUCUCUCUACUUUGUUUGUUCGUCAGGCCAGGACGCCCGCCAAACCCGACAUGGAUAACUCCAUUAUUGACGAUGGAAAGUAGAAAUCUGACCCCGGGGGCACUAGCAGACGACACUAUCCACAUUGUCUUCACACACCGAGAAUAUGACAAAAUAACAUGCAUUCUUAAUUCACCUAUCGUCCCCAGUACACACCAUCAGAAAACAUCUUCGAUCUUCUAAGGCGUGGAUGCAUUAGGGGUGCGUAUAAAAAUAAUCAUACUCCUUCCGAUACAUAAAAAGUUUCCCACAUUUAGUACAAAAUAUGUACUCCCUCCGUCGAACAAAGGAUGUUUCAACUUUGAUUAAAUUUGAAUGCAUCUAUACACUAAGUCAUGUCUAGAUACAUUUAAAUUUUGACAAACUUGAGACAUCUUUUGUUGGACGGAGGGAGUACUAAUUUUAGUACAAAAUGUGUGACACUUUUUAUGAAUGGGGGGAGUAUCUCCUAGACUCUUUUGAUUCAAAUGAGUUAAUCCUUCAGAAUUUUUUCUAUGUAGGCUUAUUUCAUUCGUAGGAUUAGAUUUUAGUGGAAAUUUGCCUAUGGUUCACUUUGCACUGCAGUGAUGCAAACCAGAUUCCGCGAAAACCCACUUCUAGUUCAUUUUUCAAAUCUUCAAUUCAAAUUUUGAGCAAAAAUUUGGAUAAAAGACUUGAGAAUUGAACUAAAAGUUGACCAUCAAUGGGAUCCCGUUUGCAUCUCUACUGCUCUCAAUUCCAAAGUAAAUUUUCCAUCUAAAUCUAAUCACUUGAAAAAAUUCCUUUGUUUCCAUGAUAACUAUACCAAUGCACGUAAUGUUUUUCUCUGUUUUUCCUCUAAUGCUAGAUUGAGUCUGUUUUUCCUUUAAUGUUUUUCCAACUCGAUUAGUUUAUUCAGGUGGUUUCUUCCUGUAGAAAACAACAUAUCAUGACAUUUCAAUCUUGUGUUUGCUAUUUCAGGGCUCAUUCACUCUACAUGCGUUUUAGAUGAUUUUUCUACAAGAUUUCAACUCUUACACCUUGUUUGGCACAUGUGGGUUUCUUACGUUUUCUAUUUCUACUCUACAAUCUUAAAAUCAUGUUCUCCUUCUGACCUUUGUUCUCAAAUUUAUCUAAAUACGGAUGUAUCUAUGUUUAAAAAAUGUCUAUAUAUAUUUAUAAUAUUUCAGUAACUAAUAUGAAUCGGAGCAACUAACUCGAACGAGCCCUCGGUGUUUGAAUAUUUAAAUACUCCUGAAUGCAAGUAUAGUUCUGCACUCCUACUGCAGCUUGCUACCACGAAACUAAACAUUUCUCUUUCUGCAGCCCCCGACUCGAUCUAGCCGCAGUCCAUGUCGUUCUUUUCGCCCUGGCGUGUGCAAGAGUCGAACCCAUAGUGUGAACAAUUGAGUUAGGCACGAGCCGGAGAGGAGGAGAAAGGACAAAUUAUUGCUCAGAUUAAUCAUCACCUCGAUCGUUGCGGCGCAAUACCGUUAUAUAACGACGGAAUACGGGCCCACACGUCAGUGUAAAGCGAGCUGCUUGCCGCUUUCUCCCUCUUGCGUGACGCCGUCGCCGUCCAGAGCCAUCUGGCCACCGGGCUCCCAGCCCCCCACAGAUGUGCCCCCUGCAUGCGCGCCAUGUAUCAGCCUCUGAUACGUCAGGCCAGGAACCAUCCUCAGCCGUCAGUUCGUCCAUCUCGACGGCUGCGAUCGCGCUGCCGCCACUUAUAAAUAGCACCGAUGCACGCGCGAGAAAGUCCGUUUUACCUUGCUGGGGGGGGGGGGUUUUACUUACAUGAGCGCGGGAAUGGAGGCGGAGCUGGAGGCGGCUCAGCGGCGCUUCCGGCUCUGGUUCCGCGGGCUGCGUUCCCUGCGGCGGGACCUCCGGUCGGCCCGCUGGGCCGGCGACGACCCGGCCCAGCUGGGGAAGCUGGCGGGCGGCUUCGUGGCCCACUUCUCCGACUACUGCGCCGCGCGGGCCGAGCUGGACCCGGUCCUGCUGCUGUCGGCGCCCUGGGCGAGCCCCGCGGAGCGUGGCGCCGCCUACUGGCUGGCCGGGUGGCGGCCGACCACGGUGGUCCACCUGCUGUACACCGAGUCCAGCCGCCGGUUCGAGGCGCAGCUCCCUGACCUGCUCCUGGGCGUGCGGUCGGGCAACCUGGGCGACCUCAGCCCGGCCCAGCUGGCCCAGAUCGACGAGCUCCAGCGCCGCGCCGUCGCCGAGGAAGACGCGCUCUCAAGGGAGAUGGCGCGGCUGCAGGAGGGCCACGGCGUCGUUGGCGGAGACGGGGAUCUGGACGUGGAGGGGAUCGUGAGGCGCGCCGGGGCCGUGGUGGCAGGGGCCGACGCGCUGCGGCUGCGCACCUUGAAGCGCGCCGUGGAGAUCCUCGAGCCGGCGCAGGCCGCCGAGCUGCUCGUCGCCAUGGCCGACAUGGAGAUCGGCUUCCGGGAGUUCGGGCUAAAGCACGGCGACGGCGGUGGCGAGCCGAGCCGCGGCGCGUAGGCAUAGGCGUGGCGCGGUCCAGAGAGCAGAUCCUCAUCCGCAUCGGCGGCUCGGCCCAGUUUUUUUCUUCCAAGUGUUUGCGCUGGUUUGACUGGGACAGAAAGACUGCUCACUGUUGUAAUCUUGUUGCCGUGACGAUUGUCUUUGCCGAACUGUCUCGCGGUGGGUGCUGCGUCGUAGCUGGACCGUGUGCGUGUGCGUGUGCGUGCGCGUGCGCCUGCUGGGAUGUCGUGUGAGAAAGCAAUAAAAUGCAAGGAAUGCAUGCUUGGUUUCGUUGAGAAGUCAUAUUUUGUUUUCGAGCAAGCGGUUUUUUUAACAUCUUUUCCGAUAAAUUGGCUGUUUGUCUGUUCACUACAGAAGACCCGUCCUUUUAAAAACGGUUUUGCUAUUAAUAAAUCCAUGUUUUAGUUAGAGUAGUCAUAGGAUUUUAAUCCAAUGAUAGCAAGUGAGAGAUGAGAGAACGAGGAUGACUCUCAGAUCUCCAGCAGUUAUGAAACGUCGACUGAUAUUUAAGGUUCAUUUUUUAAAAACUUGCGACUUAGAAAUAGCCAUACCCAUUUAAAAAACGUGUUAAAUCUUAUUAAAAUAAGAUUCUGAUCGAUAACUUAUUUUUAAUAGGUAUUGCUACGGAAAAGUUGUUUUUCUAGUUAAAGAUAAGUUGAAACACCAACUGUCAUAUCUUGAUCCAACGGCGGCACAUUGAAGAUGGGGUGUAGCUGCUAGCUUCGGCAUUGAAGAUGGCGUCAUGGUAGGGAGAAGCUAUCAAGUUAUCCGAGAUAGAGGAGGCACUGAUGGAACACAUCCGCUUGCUAGGCUUGUAAUCGGACAAAUAAUUCAAACAGCUUUGCUAUUCAUAAGACAAUUGAGAAAUAAUUAUUUUCAAGCCGACGCUAACAAUCGUUUAAUCCAAUCUCUGAUAUGUGUGAGAUCUAUACAAGUGUUGUUGACUGAAAAUAACUGCUUCCUCCGCGCCUGGAUACUCGUCGUGGUCCGGAAAUCCAACCAGUUGUUCGUUCGAGCCAGAUCCAAACGACACCGGACAGACAACCACGGGCGGUUCUACCGUGCCGCACGGUCACGCGCCCAAUUAACCGGCCACACGGCCAAGCGAAUCCAGGAUUAAAAAUAGGAAUCGCGUACAAUUACCGGCCACCCAGCCAGGCAGCCCGCAACGAUAAACCAGCAGUCUCCCGCUCCAUGUUUGGGAGCCAUGCCCAACUACAAACCCAACGUUUCCAAGCUGGCCGCCGCGCCCCGCGACAUCCACACGGCAGAUUAACCCUUCUUCUCCUUUCCUUCCUUCCUCCCUCUCCGCGCGCGCGCGACCUCCCGCAGACCCGCCUCCGCGAAUCUAGCCACCCCCGCGCGUGCGCCACGCACCGUCCGUCCGUCGGACCUCGGCCGGGCCGGCCCGCGGUCGUCGGCGCGCGGAGGGCGUUCGUGAGAAUGCGUGCGGCGGCGAUUGGUUGCUAGCUAGCUAGCGGCAUGCCUGGCAUGAGCGCGUGAUGGCGCCGCCGUUCCUGAAGACCGGGCACGGCCGCGACAGGUUCUCCUUCAGGCGGCGGAAAUCGUCCUCCUCCUCGUCCUCCUCGUCGACGCCGUCUUCUCCGCUCUCGGUGUCGUCCACAGCGUCGGAGGACAUCGCCGACCCGGGCAGCCCCAUGGAGUCGUCAGCGACGACGGGCAAGACGCUGCCCUGCGCCCGGCGGGCGCUCUCGCGGAGCAGCUGCGGGUCCAGGGGCAAGCUGUCCGUCGACCUGAUCCCGCCGCCGCUCGCCGGCGGCCCGUCCGACGCGCCCAGGUCCUCCACCUCCGCCGCGCCGCCCCCCAAGCCUCCCCCCCGCAACGAGGGCCCGCCUUCAGGUCUCACCAUUGUUAAUUUUCUAGUGUCUGUCUGACUUUCUGUCGUCAAAUGCAGAGAAAUGCCUUGUUAUGUUUUCGUGAUCGAUUGCAUGUAUCCAGAUGCUGACAUCGUGAGGGACAAGUUCUCCAAGCUGCUGCUGGGGGAGGACAUGUCCGGCACCGGCAAAGGGGUGUCCUCUGCCCUCGCUCUCUCCAACGCCAUCACCAAUCUUGCAGGUAAUCUCUCCCUUACCUUCCAUUUCCGAUCUUUCCAUUUCCAAUAACAGUCCCUGUCUUUCAAAUCUUCCCAUUCUGUCCGUUGGGUUCUGAUGGAUACUGACACGAUCAGCUAUGAUUUCUUUCUCAUGACGUGGCACAUUGCAGCUUCCGUGUUCGGUGAGCAGCGGCGUCUCCAGCCGAUGGCCGCAGAGCCGAAGGCCCGAUGGACAAAAGAAAUUGACUGGCUUCUGUCCGUUGCCGACCACAUCGUCGAAUUCGUUCCUUCACGUCAGGUGUCCGAGGAUGGCUCCACCAUGGAGGUCAGAAACAAGAGGAUCCUUGCUUAUCACAAGUACCUGGAUGUAGUUCUGUAUCACGGAACAUCUUUAUGCAAAUCCAAUUACAGCGGUGCUAUUUUUCUCUCUCUCCCCCCAAACAGAUAAUGAUGACUCAGCAGCGUAAGGAUCUGCAGAUGAACAUCCCCGCACUGCGCAAGCUCGACGGGAUGCUCCUUGUAAAGCUCUGCCACAUUCUUCUUUGAAAUCAUUUACGAGAAUGACAUGCGUGGAGAUACCUGAUGAAUUGCUAAUAUGCUAUGGCUGCACAUUUCCUGUUGUGGGGGCACAGAGCUAUCUUGACAGCUUCAGGGACAAGCAGGAGUUUUGGUACGUGUCGAAAGACGCAGAUGACUCGGAGAAGGGAGACGCGCCGAAGCAGGAUGACAAGUGGUGGCUCCCGACUGUCAGGGUCCCUCCUAAUGGUCUGUCGGACUCGUCGAGGAGGUGGCUUCUACACCAGAGGGAGCUCGUCGGCCAAGUCCAUAAGGCAACAAUGGCCAUCAAUGCUAAUGUUCUUAUGGAGAUGGAUGUUCCAGAAGCCUAUAUGGAGUCUCUGCCUAAGGUGACCCAUAUGAACACAGCAACAUUGCAUAACAUUUUUCUUUACUUCGGUUCACUGCAUUUAGAGGGAUCGAGACUCACUUUGACAGCAUCUUCUUUUUUUAUGCUUGAUAGAAUGGAAAGUCUAGCCUUGGAGACUCAAUGUACAAGCUUAUAACUGACGAAUAUUUUGACCCAGAAGAACUCAUAGCAUCAGUAGACUUGUCAGCCGAGUACAGCAUCGUUGAUCUGAAGAACCGAAUCGAAGCCUCGAUUGUCAUUUGGCAGAAGAAAAUGACGCAGAAGGAUGCCAAGAUGUGGGGGCAUGGUGUCAGUCAUGAGAAGCGGGGACGGUUUGAGGGGAGGGCGGAGAAUGUUCUUCUCCUCCUUAAGCACAGAUUCCCCGGAAUUUCUCAGUCAGCUCUGGACAUAAGCAAAAUCCAGUACAACAGGGUACUGGCAACCAUCUUCAAUUUUCCACUGUAUUUUCGGAUUUCCUACAGUACUUUAUUACUCAUGCUCAUUGCAUACAUUUUCUCGUUGUGAUUUUUUUGCAGGAUGUUGGCAGUGCCAUUUUGGAGAGCUACUCCAGGACUCUUGAGAGUCUAGCAUACACGGUUAUGUCUCGCAUCGAAGACGUUCUUCGCGCCGACUCCCUUGCUCAAGACCCCAAGAACGCGGAGGCGACGAGAAUGCCGAGCUUAUCAUCAGAUGACACAGACACGGUCGUCCAAGAUGCCAAGGACGAGGUGGAGAGGCUGGGAAGAAUGGAGCCUCUGAACUCGACACUAUUCGACUACGUGGGCCCACGGGACGGAGAUAUCGGGCCCAUGAUGUCGGAUUCACAGGAACCUCGGGGUGCAAAGCUGUCAAAGGUUUCGUCGAUCGCAACCAAGAGGUUCUCCUACCUAGAUAAGCUUGAGAAUUUGGGUGGAACAAGGAGCCCCAUAUCUAGACACUAGUCGCUGCCGUAGGGGAAAAGACGAUCAAUAUGGUGUUGAUGUUGCUGCAGAGACUCCGGGGAAAACUGCACGUAAAUAGCUCCGCAAAAACUGAGGGUGCAGCAUGCAUUGUGAGGUUUAUGUAAGCUUUCAAGCUUUCAGGCACCAAUACCUCCAAUUUGGUGCAGUUGCCAAGACAAUGUGAUGACGAUUCUCCUGCUAAAUUUACAUGAAAUAACCACAAGAUUCUGACACUGGACCUGAAAAUGGACCUCCAGAUUUUCUUACUGUACUUCUGUAGCAAAGUUUUGUGGUUCCAGUAAAGUGUUUGUUAUCUUAGACUUGACUUGCAGACCAUGCUUGGGUUCGGCUAGUGUUCUCCCCACGUACAAUUUAAGAGGGUAAUAACAUAUCACUGAACUUGGAGAUCGAUCUGUGUUAGCUUCUGGCGUUCUAGAUCGGCACUGUAAUAAGUAACUGUAACUGUACCAUGGCUCUAUGCAUUGGGAAAUUAAAACCACUCGUAUGAGUAAAUCAAUUUACAGGAACAAAUGAGCAGUAAAAAGCAUCCUUCCGGUUGCUGAUAGUACGUGCAGCUAGGCACGCCAUAUGAGUACAUACAACGAAGGACUUAACGUCCAGAUACGCAGAUCCAUGGUACACAAGCACAGGCAUAUGCAGGAACAGAUUCAGAGAGAGAGAGAGAGAGAAAGAAACUGAAACCAAAGCUUUAAUCAAAUCAGAUCAGAUCUUGCCGCGUGGGCCGGGGGUGGGGGGAAGCUGCGGCCCCUUCUUGAUGGGCAGCAGGUCCGGCGACGUGGUGGCGCCGAGGUAGGCGAUCAGGGACCCGCCGCCGAGGAGCAGGAACUUGAGCAGCAGGCCGCGCUUGGUGAAUGGCGCCGCGAAGGUCUGGAAGAACUUGCUCUGCAGCCCGUUGUAAGGGGACGGCGCGUCGGACCCGUACAG